GAUGAACGCUGGCGGCGUGCCUAAUACAUGCAAGUCGAGCGAACGGACGAGAAGCUUGCUUCCCUGAUGUUAGCGGCGGACGGGUGAGUAACACGUGGAUAACCUACCUAUAAGACUGGGAUAACUUCGGGAAACCGGAGCUAAUACCGGAUAAUAUUUUGAACCGCAUGGUUCAAAAGUGAAAGACGGUCUUGCUGUCACUUAUAGAUGGAUCCGCGCUGCAUUAGCUAGUUGGUAAGGUAACGGCUUACCAAGGCAACGAUGCAUAGCCGACCUGAGAGGGUGAUCGGCCACACUGGAACUGAGACACGGUCCAGACUCCUACGGGAGGCAGCAGUAGGGAAUCUUCCGCAAUGGGCGAAAGCCUGACGGAGCAACGCCGCGUGAGUGAUGAAGGUCUUCGGAUUGUAAAACUCUGUUAUUAGGGAAGAACAUAUGUGUAAGUAACUGUGCACAUCUUGACGGUACCUAAUCAGAAAGCCACGGCUAACUACGUG
Molecule: ribosomal RNA, 497 nt
Filed under: uncultured bacterium
Lineage: Bacteria
Description: partial 16S ribosomal RNA
Rfam family: Bacterial small subunit ribosomal RNA
Source: RNAcentral